Molecule: microRNA precursor, 124 nt
Filed under: Mustela putorius furo (domestic ferret)
Lineage: Eukaryota; Metazoa; Chordata; Mammalia; Carnivora; Mustelidae
Description: miRNA (ENSMPUG00000021086.1)
Rfam family: mir-1302 microRNA precursor family (bases 38-89)
Source: RNAcentral
GUUAAGUUUUAAUUUCAGAAAAAAAUGACAAGUUAAUUUUUUAGGAUAAGUAUGCCUCAGGCAAUCUUUGGGAUAUACUUAUACUAAAAAUAAUUCAUUGUUUAUUUGAAAUUCAAAGGGAACU